Molecule: long non-coding RNA, 770 nt
Filed under: Polistes fuscatus (common paper wasp)
Lineage: Eukaryota; Metazoa; Arthropoda; Insecta; Hymenoptera; Vespidae
Description: uncharacterized LOC122516706, transcript variant X1
Source: RNAcentral
AAUGUAACAGGAGCGGAUCGUUUGUCGCGAACAGGUGACUCUCCCGUCACGAUACAGACGGCGUACAUACGUUUAGUUUUUAAACGCUAAGAAACAAAGCCUCCCUCGUCAAUAAACAAAACCAGUCCCUUUGUUCUUUUCUUUCGGAAAGGUGCAAAAGAAUACGUUAAAAGCUAAAUUCGUUAUAUAUAUAUUUCAAUUGUAAUGAUUCAUUCAACAGGAUUCGAUCUGAAUAAACAUAAAAAAUAAAUACAAUAAGAAAAUCUUGAAAAAAAUGUUAUUUACGCAAUUCUUUAAAAAAUUGUUAUUCGAAUAAUAAAAUAAAAAUCAGAGUAAAAGUUUAACAAGAUAAUCUUCUCGUGAUCGUUCGCACGAGUAGUUUAUUCAAAAAUGUUUCUGUAUUAACGGAAUAGAACGAUAGGCAAUAGGAAAAGGAAGUAAAAUGGGCAGAAAGUCUCGUGAGAGCGAUAAUCGUAAAAUGUGCGAGAGAGAGAGAGAAAGAUAGAGAGUGUGUACGUUUGUGUGCAUGCGUAUGUGUAUAUAGGGGUAGUGUGCGUGAGAGUAGUAUUCAUGGUGGGUGGUUAAAGUGUCAGGGCGAAAGCAACGAUACAAGUUCGAGAUGCAUGGUACUCGAGAGCGAUCGAGAUCUAAGGGGAAACCUGAAAGUUCGCGUGCGAGCGACUAAUAAAGCGGUUGUCCGGUAAAAAAAACAAGGGACGGAGCAAAAAUAUAUUUAUUGAAAUUGAAGUAUUAUCGUGUGUGUUCAAAAA